Molecule: ribosomal RNA, 303 nt
Filed under: Enterococcus faecium
Lineage: Bacteria; Bacillati; Bacillota; Bacilli; Lactobacillales; Enterococcaceae
Description: partial 23S ribosomal RNA
Rfam family: Bacterial large subunit ribosomal RNA
Source: RNAcentral
GAUAAGGUUAAGUGAAUAAGGGCGCACGGUGGAUGCCUUGGCACUAGGAGCCGAUGAAGGACGGAACUAACACCGAUAUGCUUUGGGGAGCUGUACGUAAGCUAUGAUCCAGAGAUUUCCGAAUGGGGGAACCCAGCAUCUUUAAUAGGAUGUUACGAUUGUGUGAAUACAUAGCGCAUUCGAGGUAGACGCAGAGAACUGAAACAUCUAAGUACCUGCAGGAAGAGAAAGAAAAUUCGAUUCCCUGAGUAGCGGCGAGCGAAACGGGAAAAGCCCAAACCAGCAAGCUUGCUUGUUGGGGUU